GAUGAAGAACGUAGCGAAAUGCGAUAAGUAAUGCGAAUUGCAGAAUUCAGUGAGUCAUCGAAUCUUUGAACGCACAUUGCGCCCCCCGGCAUUCCGGGGAGCAUGCCUGUUCGAGCGUCUCUUGGAAUACCCCUCACGCCGGCGGAGGCGUGGUCAUGGCGGCGGUGGCGUGCCCCGAGAGGGAGGCCACCGCGCUGGAAUCCAUGGGCGGACGCCUGCCGCGUGGCCGAGCGUGAUAAGACGCACUGGCGCUCGCGCGCGGCGAGGCUGCCGGCCCUGGCCCGCUCGUCGGGCGGGGACAGCAACACUUGGGAACUCCUCGAAUCAGGUAGGGAUACCCGCUGAACUUAAGCAUAUCAAUAAGCGGAGA
RNAcentral lists this unclassified non-coding RNA (370 nucleotides) under soil metagenome. RNAcentral's name for it is "partial contains 5.8S ribosomal RNA, internal transcribed spacer 2, and large subunit ribosomal RNA". The stretch from base 1 to 120 matches the Rfam family "5.8S ribosomal RNA", at positions 35 to 154 of the family's 154-position model. The record is from RNAcentral.